AUUGAACGCUGGCGGCAGGCCUAACACAUGCAAGUCGAACGGUAACAGGAAGAAGCUUGCUUCUUUGCUGACGAGUGGCGGACGGGUGAGUAAUGUCUGGGAAACUGCCUGAUGGAGGGGGAUAACUACUGGAAACGGUAGCUACUACCGCAUAAUGUCGCAAGACCAAAGAGGGGGACCUUCGGGCCUCUUGCCAUCGGAUGUGCCCAGAUGGGAUUAGCUAGUAGGUGGGGUAACGGCUCACCUAGGCGACGAUCCCUAGCUGGUCUGAGAGGAUGACCAGCCACACUGGAACUGAGACACGGUCCAGACUCCUACGGGAGGCAGCAGUGGGGAAUAUUGCACAAUGGGCGCAAGCCUGAUGCAGCUAUGCCGCGUGUAUGAAGAAGGCCUUCGGGUUGUAAAGUACUUUCAGCGGGGAGGAAGGGAGUAAAGUUAAUACCUUUGCUCAUUGACGUUACCCGCAGAAGAAGCACCGGCUAACUCCGUG
Molecule: ribosomal RNA, 490 nt
Filed under: uncultured bacterium
Lineage: Bacteria
Description: partial 16S ribosomal RNA
Rfam family: Bacterial small subunit ribosomal RNA
Source: RNAcentral